This 224-nucleotide long non-coding RNA is filed under the name Drosophila guanche. The record is from RNAcentral. Lineage: Eukaryota; Metazoa; Arthropoda; Insecta; Diptera; Drosophilidae.
GUUUUUUGUCAUUUAUUAUUAAUAACAUGUCUGCAUAUGUAUUAAUUAUGAGUGGUCCAGCGCUCAAUGACUGGAUUAACUGGCUAUCUGUUUGGCAGCUACUCAAAGACAAAGUGAGAGCCGGAGAACCGCGGUGCUUCUUCCUAAAUGCUCUCAUCGAGGCACUCGUUCCAGCAGUAUUUAACGACAUUUUGCGACAGUUUGAUUUAUGAAUACAAACAAAU